AGGACGAACGCUGGCGGCGUGCUUAACACAUGCAAGUCGAACGGUGAAGCCAGAGCUUGCUCUGGUGGAUCAGUGGCGAACGGGUGAGUAACACGUGAGUAACCAACCCGGACUUCGGGAUAACCCCGGGAAACCGGAGCUAAUACCGAAUAUGAGGCGUACAGGCAUCUGUAGCGUCUGGAAAGAUUUAUCGGUUCGGGACGGACUCACGGCCUAUCAGCUUGUUGGUGAGGUAACGGCUCACCAAGGCAACGACGGGUAGCCGGCCUGAGAGGGUGACCGGCCACACUGGGACUGAGAUACGGCCCAGACUCCUACGGGAGGCAGCAGUGGGGAAUAUUGCACAAUGGGCGCAAGCCUGAUUGCAGCGACGCCGCGUGAGGGAUGACGGCCUUCGGGUUGUAAACCUCUUUCAGUAGGGAAGAAGCGAGAGUGACGGUACCUGCAGAAGAAGCACCGGCUAACUACGUGCCAGCCGCCGC
Molecule: ribosomal RNA, 482 nt
Filed under: uncultured bacterium
Lineage: Bacteria
Description: bacterial SSU rRNA
Rfam family: Bacterial small subunit ribosomal RNA
Source: RNAcentral